RNA transcript from Apis mellifera (honey bee), 2799 nucleotides. It is a transcript of the gene named craniofacial development protein 1, with no coding region annotated. The transcript is spliced from 4 exons. The record is from RefSeq and is a predicted model, not a curated record. NCBI's taxonomy places the organism in Eukaryota, Metazoa, Arthropoda, Insecta, Hymenoptera, Apidae.
AAGGCGCUCGUGGAGCAAGUUAAAAAUGGCUGAUGAUAUACGAAUGCAUUUGCGAAUCGCGAGUCGAUUCGUGUUCUUCGGUCGUUACUUUUUGUGAUUUUCUCACGUGUAGUGGUAUUUCUUUGCUGUGUUUGUAAAAUAUUAAUAAUAUUAAUUCAAAUUUUUCCGUAUAUAACAAAUUAUUGGAAAGGAACAAAGGAAAUAAAAUAUUCGGAAUAUUUUAACGAAAGUUCCCGAAGGUGAUUCAUUGUCUAACUGAAUUUUUAGCUUAGAAAGAUCGUGUUUUGGAGAAAAUUCUUACUAUUACGAAUAAAAUUUUAAUUAAAUAUGACUGAAGAACACCAAUUGCCCUCUGAUUCUGAUGAAGAUGAUGAAGAUUAUAUUCCCGAUGGUGCAGACAGUGAGCCAGUAUCUGAAGUAGAAUCUGAAGGUGAUGCAGAGAGUGGUCCUGAAGAAGAGAAUGAUGAAAACCAAAGAGAAACGAAGAACAUUAAGAAAAGAGGAAGGAAGAAAAACAAAGUUAUAAAAUCUAAAAUUAGAAAGCGUAGAAGAACAAGGAAAAAGAUAACAGAGGAUAAGGAUGAUGAAAAAGAGGAAAAACAACAAAAAGAAGAAUCUAUUGAGAAAAAAGAACUUACCGAAGAAGAGGAGAAAAAAAGGGCCGACUCUCUUUGGGCUGAUUUUAUGAAAGAUACAGCAAUGACACCAAAACCUAAGCAACAAAAUAUAACGAAUAAAUCUAAAGAGAGAUCCCCAUCUAUAGAAAAGCCAAAAGCGGAAGAAAAAGUAAAAAUAACUAAAGUAUUUGAAUUUGCCGGUGAAGAAGUAAAAGUAGAAAAAGAAGUCUCUAUAGAUUCAGCAGAAGCAAGAAUAUCUCUAUCCUCCGCUGAGAAUUCUGAGAAAACAGGAAAUUCUGGAUCUCUCGCGGGUAGAGGAUCUGGAAGAGGUAGAGGUUUCAAACGAGCUGGUUUAGGAGGUAUUUCUUCUGUCCUUGGUCAAUUAGGGAAGAAGGCGAAAAUUAGUACGUUAGAAAAAUCCAAACUAGAUUGGGAUAAUUAUAAGAAACAAGAGAAUUUGGAGGAAGAAAUUAGUACUCAUAACAAAGGCAAGGAUGGAUAUUUAGAACGUCAAGAUUUCUUACAAAGAGCAGAUUUGCGGCAAUUUGAAAUUGAAAAACAAUUACGUAAUGCAAACAGACGUAGUACACGGUGAAUUUAUAAUUUUAUGUAUAUAUAUUUUAUAUAUAUAUAUCUUCCUUAAUAAUGAGAACCAGAAAUGGUAUUGAGAAAAAUAUCUUAUUAGAAUUGCCAAUUAUUGGCGCUUGUAGCACAUAUUUACUCGAAUUGUUUAAACUCUUACUAAAUAUCUCAUGCCAUGUAUAAAAAUGUGAUUGCCUCGCUUGGCUUGACAAUCGGCUGGAUCUGGUUAAGAAACGGUUGAGAGCCAAUUCUGUGAGAAGAGACUGAUCAUUCCAAUGUAUCGAAGAUAAUAUAGUACGUUAUGUAAUAGUCUAAUGUAUCAUCUGCGAGCGUUGUCUCGAGCCAUUAUAUCACAGAACUUCGCAUCGAAGCAGGAUGUUUGAAGCUUGGUGCUUCGGAGACCGACGAUAUAUAUUCUAACAAUAAACAAGCUCCAGAGAUGUUUUUAUUCCAUUUCAGUGGAAGAAAGGAUGAUUGAUGACAGUGUAGAUUAGUAAAAUCAAUGCUCCGUUUCAAUCGUAUAUAUACGAUAUAAAGAGAAGAAAAUCGAGAAUGUAUAAUCUCUACGAAUAAUUCGAAACAAGAACGUGUAACAAGAAUGUCGCAACGAGAAAUUCAAGUCUUACGAAAAAGAAGAAGAAGAAAAGACGAAAAAUCUUGUUCGAACCUUUGUAAGUUUCUCCUUUAAAAAAGAAAUAAAAGAACAAUUUUCUUCCUUCCAUCUCAUCACGCGAGAAACAUCUAUUAAAAUCCACCUUGCGAUCUUUUCGUAUACGAAAAUCGAAUACAAUUAAACGAGUCGCGAAUUUUUCAAGCGCCUCGGGCAACGUUGCCUUUUUUCUCUUUCUUUUCCCCUUCUUUCUGAAUGAUCCUGGAAGGUGUCGCGAGCGUCGUAAAGUCGAAUUACCGAUUGCACGCGGCGAGGAGGAUGAAGGAGGGGAGGCGGGCGAAAGAGGAAGCCACGCGAGCCGAAGGUGGAUCGUUGUUGUCGGAUCGUGUGUGCAAAAGCGGGAAUAUCGACGCCAGACUGGCGGCCGUUAGUCGUGGCCUUGCCAUCGGCAGUUUAUUCACGAACCGGAAUAUCUGUUCGACCGUUCGUUCCUUGGCCAACUUCCAUUCUUUUCAACGCGCCUCGAACCAACCUCUCCUUCUCCUUCUUCGGUGAAGAGAGAGAGAGAGAGAGAGAGAGAGAGAGAGAAUGCACUUGUUACUUUCCCGAUUGCCCGAGAAGAGCGCACGUGCAUACGUACGCGGUGAGGUUAAGUUUGAUCGAGGCGUUGAAAGCGUCCCUUUGUUCGGAUCGGUCGGUGUCGGCUACUUGAAUUUGACGAACGACCGGAAAUUGAAAUUCAAGUGGAAGGUAAUUUGACUCGAAAACUCGAGGAAAAACUUUCCGUCUCGAUUCAGUUAUCGUUCGAGUAACUUGAAUCAAGUUAGGACGUGGUUAUUAAACAUGAUGAUGUGUGUUGUGGAAUGUGUAAUGAUAAAUCUAAUACCAUUGUAAUUUAUCUUAAACGAGGGCUUAUCUUGAUCUUGUUCUGUCCACGCGCAUAGAUGGUACGCAAAAUGGAGAAUAAAAUGAAAUACGAUACAAAUUGAA